Molecule: ribosomal RNA, 253 nt
Filed under: uncultured bacterium
Lineage: Bacteria
Description: partial 16S ribosomal RNA
Rfam family: Bacterial small subunit ribosomal RNA
Source: RNAcentral
UACGUAGGGGGCUAGCGUUGUCCGGAAUCAUUGGGCGUAAAGAGCGUGUAGGCGGCCCGGUAAGUCCGCUGUGAAAGUCGGGGGCUCAACCCUCGAAUGCCGGUGGAUACUGUCGGGCUAGAGUGCGGAAGAGGCGAGUGGAAUUCCGGGUGUAGCGGUGGAAUGCGUAGAGAUCCGGAAGAACACCGGUGGCGAAGGCGGCCUGCUGGGCAGUAGCUGACACUGAGGCGCGACAGCGUGGGGAGCAAACAGG